Molecule: long non-coding RNA, 6447 nt
Organism: Chiroxiphia lanceolata (lance-tailed manakin)
Lineage: Eukaryota; Metazoa; Chordata; Aves; Passeriformes; Pipridae
Exons: 6
Source: RefSeq, a predicted model, not a curated record
CUUCCCAUCUAUCUUAAGGACUGUGUAUACAUGUUCGAUCUGUGUAGAAGCCAUGGAUAACUCCAAAAGGCAGUUCCCUUCCCUCCAGCCUGUCAGCAUUUUAUCACAUCUGUUAUGAACAUCUGUAGCUUUGCUGCCUUACCUGACACAAGGAUUCACUUAAUCCUGCUGAGUAAAGGGGAGUGGGGGGAGAGGCUCCACAUAUUCCUGUAGAAGUGACUCAAAGCACAGGAUAUGAACUCACCUGCUCUCCAUAUUCAAUCCAUUGGCCUUCGUUAUUCUUCCAAUACCAAAUCCACUGUGUGUCAGCACGAUGUGGGUUUUGUGACUGAUGAUGGGUGUAGAGAGGCGUCGAACCGGAGAAGAAGAGCAGGUCAUUGUCUGGAAGUUAAUGUUCCUGCCUGCUAUGCUGUAAGGACAAAUUCAGGGUUUUACAGUUAACAGUAGAUCUUUUAUCCUCUAAUCCUCUGUUUAGGCUUGUGCAAUUUUCUUUAAUAUAAUGUGACUGAACCUAAUUAGACCUGAAUAAGAGUAUUUUCCACAACACAUGACAGCUCUGAAAAGCUAUAUCCAAGCUUCAUAAGCAAACUAUGGCCUGUGAGACAUGGUAUGCCAUCUCAGUCACUGGCCAUAUGUGGCACUGCCAGCUUUACAGACAGCACAGGACUACAAGUACAGCAUGGCAAAAGGUACUCUGCAAUAAGGAAAGUUUCCAGUUUGUCUCAGUACAAAACCAGAAUUUUGUAGGUACACGCAGCUUAUCAACUUGGUUCUUUUCCUGUGGUUACAAAGGAUGUAAUCACAACCAUCACAGCUGUGAGGUCUGCAAACUGUAUUCGUCACUGGAGCUCUGGGCUCUUACUCCUGUGAGGCUUGAAAAGUUAACUUCCAGGCAGGAAGACUUUGAAAGCAGCCUCCUCUUGUGAAUCUUGCUUGUGAUCUGCACCAUCCACCAAGAUGCAAAGUCAUCUGUUGCCUUAAGAGGCAUGGGCCAAAAUUACUAUACAUUUUUGAAGCCAGACUUGGAGUCCCCUAUGAAUCCAGGUGGCACAGUGGGGCUUUCAGAAAGGACUUAACAUAGAAAGAAAAACAGGAAAAAAAGAGAUAUGCUGCUUACACAAGGGCCAUCUCAUAAAAUGUCUCUAGGCACACAACAGAUAUUGCUAUUAUUAUUAUUACUGUUGUUGUUAUUUUUAUUACGCAUACUAGCUGUAGUAGGAAAAGAACAGCCAGAGAGAAGGACCAGCUCUGAUAUGUUGUUACAAGGCCCAACUUCAUUACUGUAAAUAAAUUAUGAUUCAUUAUCUGAAAUGCUGAUAUUCUAAACACUGUAUUCCACUCGCUUUUUACCCUGCACAAAGCUUUAAAUGUAAGAUACAGUUUUGUUAUUUUUAGAAGACAUAAAUGGGGUGAUAUUGCCAUGCAAUCACUUUUACUUUGCUUUUUAAAAGGAAAAAUUCUCAUUUGUAAAUCCUCCCAGAUUCUGAGAGGCUCAGUAGCCAGAAGUUAUUGAAGUCAGACAUCUUUGGAAGAAAAUGGGAGGUUUUCCACAGGGGCUCAAUUCGCAGUACUCCAAGCAAGGAGUCCAGCAUCACUAUACCUGCUGUUUUUUGGGUCACAAUAGGCCUUUUCAAUUUCCUCCAUCAUGGAAAGGUCUUUCCAGGUGAUCCCAUCAUAUAUCUCCCAUUUAUAUGGCAAAUGGUAAUGAACAGAUUUGCAUUUAUCUGUAAUAAGAUCAGACAUAGUCGAAUUCUGUAAUCAUAACACAGAGAGCAAAACAACAAAACCCAAAAAGGAACCAGCAGACUUUACACCUUGAGGCUUUCUCCCUGGGCUUUGGUUUGAGCAAUGAAGACAGAGUGCUGAAAACAGGAGGGGGGUGUGUUUCUCCAGUGAGUGAGUGAGAAGGCACAAUUGCCACUGACACUCCAUAUGCCACCACUAGCCCAAGCCACUGAGCAGGGACUGUCUCUGCAGUCACUGUUCUCCAGUGACUACAUUACUUUUUAUAAAGCUUACCCUUAUGUUUGCAGUACUUCCAGACAUAGAACACACAGAUCUCAUCACAGUUAACUUCUUUGUUGUCCUUUGAAGCUUCAGCAGAGGAAUCGUCCUUUUUUAUCUACAGGAAAGAACACAUCAGUCCUUAUUUGCUUCAAGAGAAAGACACUGCUUGGUACUUCAUCCAGAAUAACAAAGAUUUGACUGCAGUAGGCAAGUAAGCACUUUCAGGAUCUGACUAUCCCCAUACAGCCCCCACACGAGUCAGGGCUUUGUGGACUGACCAAUAAGCCCUGACAACUGGAAGAAGUCUCAGUGGAGAAGCGCAAGGGCAGUGUCAGGAAGAGUAACACAGGCUGUGGCUGACCAUGGUUCUUGCAAAGCAGCCAACUUGUCUCCACACCACGGGAAGCAGAGGGUGGAUAAUGGCAGUGUCAGCUCAGCGGAUCAAUGCAGGUAGAAAUUUUUCUCCCUGAGUUGGCCAGACCAGCAUGGGGGGAGUUCAGCCCAACACGGAGGUGCUAAAACUAAAGAACUAACAAAGAAUUCUCAAGACAGCAACAGGCUUCAGCUGGCUUCAGCCCUUCCCAGAGACUGGGGACACCCAGCUUUGUGACAAUGAGCGUAUUAUACAGACCUGUAAUGGGAGUGCCAUUAGCAUUGUGAUUGAACUGUGCAUUGCAACUGCUACAUUUGGGUACAGAAGGCAAGGAAAGGUAUCUGUCUCCUUCAGUUGUGUCCAGGACAGUACAGAGAUCGGUCCCAGGCUACUCCUCGUGGUGGUGCUUGGGCAGAAAUCCCAGCACUGCGGCUCUCAGCGCACCGUAAGACCUUGAUGCACCAAAAUGUGCAGGCCUAGGAAGACUGGAAAGGAAAUGGGACCUUGCUUCCUAGUCUCCAUCAUCUCUGGAGAAGAAGCAACAAACUGGGUUUUGGUCAUCAUACCUCUUAUCCUGUUGCACUGAGAUAGAACUCCACAUGCUCUGUUACCCUCUCCCAUUCCUGGUGAACAAAAAGCUUCUUUUAAGACAUCGGUACAACUCACAUCAGGGAGAAGAAAGUGUCGUUUGGAGAAGCAGGAUUCGCAGCUCAUCCUCACUGAGGCCAGACAAAUCAUGUUUUUUUAGAACUUUUUUGUUCUCAGCACUGGUGAUGUCAUGCGAGUACUUACAAGAGCUGCAAGAAAACAGACAGACACAUCAAUGUUUACCUCCAUGAGUCAGGCUGAUUUAAAGAAGAACCUCAGAAAACGUGCAACUUCGGAAAAGCCAUGAGAGAAAGGGGGACUUGGCAAAAGUCUCUAUAAACAUUUAGGUGGUCUCUGCAAUUAGCCAGAGGAACAGACCAACAGCAUAACUCCUCUGUGAAAUGCAGGAGAGUUAUCAUCCCCAUGUGAAACACCAGCGUGGCCACACCACUUUAAAAAAAACUUAGCAGCACAAAUUUGAAGCCACGUCUGUCUAUCUCACACAUUCUUCACCUCCAGUAAAAUACAAGUCAGUGUCCACAUGAUCUGAACAGCUGGAGGGAAAGUUAAUUUUAGAGCAAUACACCACAACACCGGAGGUUGCAACACCCUUGAUUCUGUGAAUGUAAAAGGUUGUUGUCCCAGGAUGGCAUGUAAGGAAAGAUGCAAGAGUCUAAGAGAGCAAAACAAAGAGAUAGUGAAGCUGAAAACAACAAAAUUUGUUAUCUUUGCUGGCUGGAAAGUUUGGUUUUUUAGAACAAAACAAACAAGCAAAAAAACCUCCCAAAAAACAAAAACAACAAACCAAAAUGAAAUAAGAAAAUACAGCUUCUUCAUGUCCUGCUCUCUAGCAGGUGAUCUGAUGCAGCCUUAAGACUAGACAUACUCAUCCAGCAAAAGUAUCUGUUAAUCUGACUCCAGAGUCAAGUCUAUGAUCCCUAUACUCUUUCAGCCUCUAGUUAACUCUUGAAACUCACCUUGUGAAAGCUUUUUUGUCUGAUCCAAUCCUUCUAUACAGACACUUGAGUACAUAUUUCACCCCUGACCCCUGCUACCUGUUGGACACAUUGCUUUGUAAGCAAAUAAACAAGGUUGCAAAGUCUGAAGGGCAGAAGUGUGCCAUCUUUGAUGCUGAGAAACAGUCUUCUAGGGCUAUUAGGUGCUGUAGGCACUCAAUAAAUGGCUGUGAAGGUAGGUAAGCCACAGAGUACUUGAGCUGUGAGCCAUCACCAGUGUUCCUCCACAGUCGACUUCAGAUUCCCCGACAGUCACACAGUGAGUCCAUAUUUCUAAGUCAAAGGUUAAAACACUCCACAAAUACAAUGAUAACUAAACAACUGAGUUCAAUAACACAUUCAGGAAAGAAAAACAAAACAAUGAAAAGCUACUUGCGAGACAGUUAAAAACAGGAUUAACUGGACUAAAAUUGUGAUUCCACUAAAUACAAGACCACAGUAACUUGUACAGACGUUUUUCUUUCCAGGGAUUCUAAAACAAAAGGGAUGCAAAGUCUGGAAGCAAGGCUAGAUUUUACCGUAUCAGUUAGAAAAUUGUCUCUCUCUUGAUCUAUGUGGUCCACCCAGCAGUGUUUCUGUCCCCUCGUUUUAAUCAACCUCCCUCCCAUGAAAGGCAUACUCUUUGCUUUAUUAAUUUUUAACACAUACUAAGGUGAUUUUAAAUACUUAGUGCUAUUGAGAGGACAGAGUGGUUUAUCAUUACUAAGGGAAUCACCUCAUUGCACGUUUUAAUUCACAGAGUCAUCCAGCGUGAGUGCCUACGCGCACCUGAAGGCAUUUCUAACACUGAAUCCCAGGGAAGCUCAUCGUUCUGUCAGUAAUGCAACAAACAGUAAGAAAAUCUUAUUAUCCUUGUGGUUUGCUAGUACACUGAGAGACACAGCCUUUCCCCUCCAAGCUCUUCAGAUCCGAGCACACAGCCAUCUGUUUUAUUGGGGCAGAACAGGAAGGAGCCGCUGGGGUACCAGCAGUAGGUACCACCUUUGCCUGCCCUGCCCUUCCCGGGAGUCCUCCGUAUUCCGGAAGCCGGGAUUGAUGUACAUGGGCGAUCAAGCAGUGCCUCUCACAGAAAAGUCUGUAAGCGAAGCGCCAGUUCCAAUGAAAACAUGCAUUUCUGCAUUAAUCCACUUAGAAAUCUGAACUACUGGUCUGAGGAGCUUUGCUGGAUACUUCGUUGGAACAGUAUCAUCAGCACAGAGCAGGAAAGUAAAGCAGAAAGAAGCUGCAAAUGCAGUCGUGGCAAGCAUGUUCUAUUCUCCACUUAAAUACGUUCAAGAAGGGUUUUGGUUCAGGCCUGAGCGAAAACAAAGAAACAUUGGUGCAUUUAUCCUGUUUAUUGGUAUGUUUUGCAAAUAUAAAUGCCCCAAUACUUGACUUCCUUAACCUACUUCAAACAGAACCAGUUUAUGUGAAACAACACAACUGGGUGAGGCAAAAGAUAUCACUGCAUGGGACGGGAGUCCCAAAUCGGUGUCAUUUUCAUAGGGCAGUGAGUGAUUCCAGCCUUCAAUAUCAAGGCUUUGUUUAAGUUAGACACCAGUGGAAGAGUAGCUGGAUUGCUGCAACCUUUUGCUGCUGUUUAAAAUGCAGUCCCUGUGCAUCUGUCUCUCUGAUGUCCUCUACUUGCAGCUGCAAUAUCUCCUUGUUUGCCCUGCCUCUGCUAUUCAGCUGACUCCGUAGUAAGUGAAAUCAGCUUUCAGAGACUUGAAACUGAAGUUUUGAUUCGUAUGAGCAAAGCGUGCAUGGAAAUGGGUGUGUGUGAGCACCAGAAGAAACAGCAGAACAAAGGUUAAAAGAAUGGCCUGUGUUGAUAAUCAAAAACACAGCAGUAAAGGCAGCAAAAUCGAGAAACACUUUCUGUCAAACCAGGCAAAUCUGCACACUGGAGCACAGCCAACUUGUCAGCAGAAGAGCCUACCAUCUGACAGCUGGACAUGGCAGGAAGAUACAGCACAUCACAAAUACCGUUUAUUUCCUGUUGGUCCCACUGGAAGCAAACCAUAAAAUAAGGAAACGCAGAAAAUGGGCAAAUAAGUUCCAUAAGGUGCAUGGAGGUAGAAGUAACUGGACUGUGAAGCACAAGGAUGCCACCACAGUCAGUGCUGGGUCCCACUAGCUUUCCUACCUGCUAGUGGGCAGAAAAGACCCCUCCAAGGCGGCUUGCCACUGGCAGUGAAAAGUAACACAAGAGAUACCAAAAGGGUGGGAUGGUUGGUGCCCAUCUUCCCUUAUGCUGCUUGCAAUGUGGGUCCUGCAAAAACCUGUGGAGCACAAACACUCAGGAGCUGUGAGUAUAAGGUUUUGACAGCGUGAACCAAGUUGACUAUUGAGUUGCUUGACUGCAUUCCAGGAUGAAGAGCCCUGCUACACUGGCUCACGUGAUCUCUUGGGGUGCUCUCAGACCCUCUGUGGGCUCUGGGGCUCUGCAGGGCUGGGAUUGGGAGGGUGGGGUGGGAGCUGGAA